UAACAUAGCGGCCCACUUGAUAUUGAGU
RNAcentral lists this small RNA (28 nucleotides) under Bombyx mori (domestic silkworm). RNAcentral's name for it is "piRNA piR-bmo-1484986". Lineage: Eukaryota; Metazoa; Arthropoda; Insecta; Lepidoptera; Bombycidae. The record is from RNAcentral.